This 424-nucleotide ribosomal RNA is filed under the name uncultured bacterium. RNAcentral describes it as "bacterial SSU rRNA". It matches the Rfam family "Bacterial small subunit ribosomal RNA", at positions 356 to 772 of the family's 1533-position model. The record is from RNAcentral.
GGGGAAUUUUGGACAAUGGGCGCAAGCCUGAUCCAGCCAUGCCGCGUGAGUGAAGAAGGCCUUCGGGUUGUAAAGCUCUUUCGGCGGGGACGCAAUGGUUCGUGCUACUACCACGGACUGAUGACGGUAACCACAGAAGAAGCCCCGGCUAACUUCGUGCCAGCAGCCGCGGUAAGACGAAGGGGGCUAGCGUUGUUCGGAAUUACUGGGCGUAAAGCGCACGUAGGCGGCCUUUCAAGUCAGAUGUGAAAGCCCCGGGCUUAACCCGGGAAAUGCAUUUGUUACUGUUGGGCUAGAGACCGGGAGAGGAUAGCGGAAUUCCCAGUGUAGAGGUGAAAUUCGUAGAUAUUGGGAAGAACACCAGUGGCGAAGGCGGCUAUCUGGACCGGUACUGACGCUGAGGUGCGAAAGCGUGGGGAGCAAA